This 431-nucleotide ribosomal RNA is filed under the name uncultured Ruminococcus sp. Its description in RNAcentral is "bacterial SSU rRNA". It matches the Rfam family "Bacterial small subunit ribosomal RNA", at positions 958 to 1393 of the family's 1533-position model. Lineage: Bacteria; Bacillati; Bacillota; Clostridia; Eubacteriales; Oscillospiraceae. The record is from RNAcentral.
AACGCGAAGAACCUUACCAGGUCUUGACAUCCAACUAACGAAGUAGAGAUACAUUAGGUGCCCUUCGGGGAAAGUUGAGACAGGUGGUGCAUGGUUGUCGUCAGCUCGUGUCGUGAGAUGUUGGGUUAAGUCCCGCAACGAGCGCAACCCUUGCUAUUAGUUGCUACGCAAGAGCACUCUAAUAGGACUGCCGUUGACAAAACGGAGGAAGGUGGGGACGACGUCAAAUCAUCAUGCCCCUUAUGACCUGGGCUACACACGUACUACAAUGGACGUCAACAGAGGGAAGCAAAACAGCGAUGUGGAGCAAACCCCUAAAAACGUUCUCAGUUCAGAUUGCAGGCUGCAACCCGCCUGCAUGAAGUCGGAAUUGCUAGUAAUCGCGGAUCAGCAUGCCGCGGUGAAUACGUUCCCGGGUCUUGUACACACGC